RNAcentral lists this ribosomal RNA (460 nucleotides) under uncultured bacterium. RNAcentral's name for it is "partial 16S ribosomal RNA". It matches the Rfam family "Bacterial small subunit ribosomal RNA", at positions 338 to 795 of the family's 1533-position model. The record is from RNAcentral.
CCUACGGGUGGCAGCAGUGAGGAAUAUUGGUCAAUGGGCGCAAGCCUGAACCAGCCAAGUAGCGUGAAGGAUGACUGCCCUACGGGUUGUAAACUUCUUUUAUAAAGGAAUAAAGUGAGGCACGUGUGCCUUUUUGUAUGUACUUUAUGAAUAAGGAUCGGCUAACUCCGUGCCAGCAGCCGCGGUAAUACGGAGGAUCCGAGCGUUAUCCGGAUUUAUUGGGUUUAAAGGGAGCGUAGAGGGGUUGUUAAGUCAGGUGUGAAAUUGUGCGGCUCAACCGUACAAUUGCAAUUGAUACUGGCAGUCUUGAGUGCAGUUGAGGUAGGCGGAAUUCGUGGUGUAGCGGUGAAAUGCAUAGAUAUCACGAAGAACUCCGAUUGCGAAGGCAGCUUACUAAGCUGCCACUGACAUUGAUGCACGAAAGUGUGGGUAUCAAACAGGAUUAGAUACCCUUGUAGUC